Long non-coding RNA from Drosophila ficusphila, 557 nucleotides. RefSeq lists it as uncharacterized. The transcript has 3 exons. The record is from RefSeq and is a predicted model, not a curated record. Lineage: Eukaryota; Metazoa; Arthropoda; Insecta; Diptera; Drosophilidae.
UUCCAACUUCGUAGCCAAAAAUACCGAGAGCACCUUUAAAAGUUGCCUGAAACUCAGGCCAAAACAAUUACGGUCUGUGGUGGAAGGUGGCUUUUGGUGGGUGGUUGAUGGCAGAUGGGUGGCUGGAUGGUUCGGUGGUUGCCACUCACUCACAAAAGAACAGCAUCCGACUGACGGCAGAAGCAUCACAGCAUCACUGGAGUGAAAUAAUCGCAUAUCGUAAACUUUGACUUCGAGCUAAUGAAGAAUUGCGGAGCCCAGAAAAGCUGCAAUUGAGUUAAUUAGUCGAGCAGGGAACUUCAUGCGAAUGGAAAGUGUCAUGACGCUCACACAGUGGAGCCUCCAAGGGGGAAGGGGAGCUUGUUUCAAGGUAGUUGUAGUACAGAUGUAAGUUACCUGCUUUCCUUCAGCCCAACUUUUUGCAUCGUCCUACGAAUGGAGUUACUCAAUUGCUAAUGAAAAGUUUGCAGAUCUUAAGUAAGAAAUGAACCUAAAUUUAUAAAUUUUUUAGUUGGUUCCAACUUGUAAAUUGCAGCACUUAUACAUUUUUAAUACUA